RNAcentral lists this ribosomal RNA (782 nucleotides) under Dentiscutata heterogama. RNAcentral describes it as "eukaryotic LSU rRNA". It matches the Rfam family "Eukaryotic large subunit ribosomal RNA", at positions 1 to 695 of the family's 3401-position model. Lineage: Eukaryota; Fungi; Glomeromycota; Glomeromycetes; Diversisporales; Gigasporaceae. The record is from RNAcentral.
GACCUCAAGUCAUGUGAGAGUACCCGCUGAACUUAAGCAUAUCAAUAAGCGGAGGAAAAGAAACUAACAAGGAUUCCCCUAGUAACGGCGAGUGAAGCGGGAAGAGCACAAAUUUAAAAUCUACCUGGUUUCCAGGUCGAGUUGUAAUUUGAAGAAACGUUUUUGACGUUCCGGGUUGGGAUAAAUCCUUUGGGAUGAGGUAUCAUGGAGGGUGAGAAUCCCGUGUAUACCAACCGCAGGGAUGUUAUUUAAUACGUUUUCUAAGAGUCGAGUUGUUUGGGAAUGCAGCUCUAAAUGGGUGGUAAAUUUCACCUAAUGCUAAAUAUAAGCGAGAGACCGAUAGCGAACAAGUACCGUGAGGGAAAGAUGAAAAGAACUUUGAAAAGAGAGUUAAAUAGUACGUGAAAUUGUUGAAAGGGAAACGAUUGAAGUCAGUCAUGCCGGCGGGAAUCAACUUAGGGGAAACUUUAAGUGCACUUCACGUUUGGCAGGUCAGCGUCGAUUUUGGAUAUCAUAAAAUGAUUGGGGGAAGGUAGCUCCUUCGGGAGUGUUAUAGCCCUUGAUAGAUGUGAUGUCUGGGAUCGAGGAUUGCAACGGAUAUCCUUUGGGCUAGCCGCCUGAUCUCUAAGUGGUGUUAGGUUACGGACAGCAUGCUGACCGUGAUUUAAUUACUGGUUAAAAGGUUAGGGCGAGUGUAAAUUCGUUAAGGACGCUGACGUAAUGGCUUUAAACGACCCGUCUUGAAACACGGACCAAGGAGUCUAACAUAUGUGCGAGUGUUU